RNAcentral lists this ribosomal RNA (393 nucleotides) under Porina cryptostoma. RNAcentral describes it as "eukaryotic LSU rRNA". It matches the Rfam family "Eukaryotic large subunit ribosomal RNA", at positions 158 to 551 of the family's 3401-position model. The record is from RNAcentral. Lineage: Eukaryota; Fungi; Ascomycota; Lecanoromycetes; Ostropales; Porinaceae.
GGUGCCCCGGGGGCGUGCGCCGGUCCAAGUCCCUUGGAACAGGGCGUCACGGAGGGUGAGAAUCCCGUUCGCGGCCGGGGCGGCGCGUCCCCGCGCGGGGCCCUUUCGACGAGUCGAGUUGUUUGGGAAUGCAGCUCCAAGUGGGUGGUAAAUUCCAUCUAAGGCUAAAUAUCCGCCAGAGACCGAUAGCGCACAAGUAGCGUGAGCGAAAGAUGAAAAGCACUUUGGAAAGAGAGUUAAACAGCAUGUGAAAUUGUGGAAAGGGAAGCGCUUGCGGCCAGACUCGACCGCGCGCGGCCACCCGUCCUGCGGGGCGGGGCACGCGCGCGCGGCCGGGCCCGCMUCGGUUCGGGCGGCCGGACAAAGGCCCGGGGAACGUGGCUCCUGCGGGAG